GCGGGAGUAGUUCAGUGGUAGAACACCACCCGCCAAGGUGGGGUCGCGAGUUCGAAUCUCGUCUUCUCCGCUCCA
RNAcentral lists this transfer RNA (75 nucleotides) under Anaerobacillus sp. HL2. Its description in RNAcentral is "tRNA-OTHER". It matches the Rfam family "tRNA". From Rfam's summary of the family: Transfer RNA (tRNA) molecules are approximately 80 nucleotides in length. Their secondary structure includes four short double-helical elements and three loops (D, anti-codon, and T loops). Lineage: Bacteria; Bacillati; Bacillota; Bacilli; Caryophanales; Bacillaceae. The record is from RNAcentral.